Molecule: non-coding RNA, 46 nt
Organism: Anopheles arabiensis
Lineage: Eukaryota; Metazoa; Arthropoda; Insecta; Diptera; Culicidae
Source: Rfam
GCAACAGUCCUUUUCAGGACUACCAAAUGAAUCAUUCAAGAACUAU